Papaver somniferum (opium poppy) is the source of this 479-nucleotide long non-coding RNA. RefSeq lists it as uncharacterized. The transcript is spliced from 3 exons. The record is from RefSeq and is a predicted model, not a curated record. Lineage: Eukaryota; Viridiplantae; Streptophyta; Magnoliopsida; Ranunculales; Papaveraceae.
GUUUUGUUUCUUCUUUCUUCUGGCUUCUUUGUAAUGAAGAAUUAGUCUCCGAACCACCAUGAGCAUAUGCCUUGUGUACUUGGAUCACCCAGUUACUCCUGGUUGCCAGCAAAGGAUUGAGUGCUCAUUGAUAUCCCCAAAUUUUAUUUACAAACCCUGAUAGGUUCAUUGCGAAUGAGUGAACUUCCGUUCGUGCCUUCUGCAGUUUUUUCAAGCAACUACUUGAAAUGUUUUCUCUGCAGUUGGCUCACAAGUUUUAAUUUCAUGACUUGCGCUUUAGCUUUUAUCCAAUCAAUCAUGGUUUUGGUUUAGUAAAAGUGUCAUCUGGUUGCUUCUGAAAGCAAUUAAGCAGCCAUAUACUCUGUAGGAUGAUUAUCAUUGCAUCCCCCUAUCAUGUUUAAAAUAUUUUGACUUUUUCUACUAAAAUUCAUAUAUCUUAUUCAUGGGGAGCCGGCUAGCUGCUAGCACUUCUAAUUAUG